This 530-nucleotide ribosomal RNA is filed under the name uncultured bacterium. Its description in RNAcentral is "partial 16S ribosomal RNA". It matches the Rfam family "Bacterial small subunit ribosomal RNA", at positions 355 to 874 of the family's 1533-position model. The record is from RNAcentral.
UGGGGAAUUUUGGACAAUGGGCGAAAGCCUGAUCCAGCAAUGCCGCGUGUGUGAAGAAGGCCUUCGGGUUGUAAAGCACUUUUGUCCGGAAAGAAAUCCUUGGCUCUAAUACAGUCGGGGGAUGACGGUACCGGAAGAAUAAGCACCGGCUAACUACGUGCCAGCAGCCGCGGUAAUACGUAGGGUGCAAGCGUUAAUCGGAAUUACUGGGCGUAAAGCGUGCGCAGGCGGUUUGCUAAGACCGAUGUGAAAUCCCCGGGCUCAACCUGGGAACUGCAUUGGUGACUGGCAGGCUAGAGUAUGGCAGAGGGGGGUAGAAUUCCACGUGUAGCAGUGAAAUGCGUAGAGAUGUGGAGGAAUACCGAUGGCGAAGGCAGCCCCCUGGGCCAAAUACUGACGCUCAUGCACGAAAAGCGUGGGGAGCAAAACAGGAUUAGAUACCCUGGUAGUCCACGCCCUAAAACGAUGUCAACUAGUUGUUGGGGAUUCAUUUCCUUAGUAACGUAGCUAACGCGUGAAGUUGACCGCCU